Molecule: ribosomal RNA, 252 nt
Filed under: uncultured bacterium
Lineage: Bacteria
Description: partial 16S ribosomal RNA
Rfam family: Bacterial small subunit ribosomal RNA
Source: RNAcentral
UACGUAGGGGGCAAGCGUUGUCCGGAAUUAUUGGGCGUAAAGCGCGCGCAGGCGGCUAUUUAAGUCUGGUGUUUAAUACAUGGGCUCAACCUAUGUUCGCAUCGGAAACUGGGUAGCUUGAGUGUAGGAGAGGAAAGUGGAAUUCCACGUGUAGCGGUGAAAUGCGUAGAGAUGUGGAGGAACACCAGUGGCGAAGGCGACUUUCUGGCCUAUAACUGACGCUGAGGCGCGAAAGCGUGGGGAGCAAACAGG